CCUUAUGGUUUUGUGGCUUUGUGGAAUGGGACUGAUUUAUGUUUAAUCAUAGGUCCAAAGAUGAUUAAUUAUUUGGCCCAGAUUUUUGUCAUCUGUAUGUAACCAAUACAAAAGAAAAUUGGUCAAACCAUAUUAAUCUCUCCUCUUAAGUCACGGCCAUUAAUCUGUUUUGUAACAGAUGAAUAUCAUAUUUAAUUCUUGAAAUUAAGUCUGAUUGAUUCUCCAUUUGAUUGCACCGAUAUUUUUAGAUUCGUGUGAGACACUAUAAAAUGGUCUCGUGGCAAUACUCAUUGUAUACGUUC
This 302-nucleotide long non-coding RNA is filed under the name Arabidopsis lyrata. RNAcentral describes it as "long non-coding RNA (ALYR_LNC000942)". Lineage: Eukaryota; Viridiplantae; Streptophyta; Magnoliopsida; Brassicales; Brassicaceae. The record is from RNAcentral.